This 1099-nucleotide ribosomal RNA is filed under the name Bacillus sp. (in: firmicutes). RNAcentral's name for it is "bacterial SSU rRNA". It matches the Rfam family "Bacterial small subunit ribosomal RNA", at positions 253 to 1346 of the family's 1533-position model. The record is from RNAcentral. Lineage: Bacteria; Bacillati; Bacillota; Bacilli; Caryophanales; Bacillaceae.
UGAGGUAACGGCUCACCAAGGCGACGAUGCGUAGCCGACCUGAGAGGGUGAUCGGCCACACUGGGACUGAGACACGGCCCAGACUCCUACGGGAGGCAGCAGUAGGGAAUCUUCCGCAAUGGACGAAAGUCUGACGGAGCAACGCCGCGUGAGUGAUGAAGGUUUUCGGAUCGUAAAGCUCUGUUGUUAGGGAAGAACAAGUGCAAGAGUAACUGCUUGCACCUUGACGGUACCUAACCAGAAAGCCACGGCUAACUACGUGCCAGCAGCCGCGGUAAUACGUAGGUGGCAAGCGUUGUCCGGAAUUAUUGGGCGUAAGGGCUCGCAGGCGGUUUCUUAAGUCUGAUGUGAAAGCCCCCGGCUCAACCGGGGAGGGUCAUUGGAAACUGGGAAACUUGAGUGCAGAAGAGGAGAGUGGAAUUCCACGUGUAGCGGUGAAAUGCGUAGAGAUGUGGAGGAACACCAGUGGCGAAGGCGACUCUCUGGUCUGUAACUGACGCUGAGGAGCGAAAGCGUGGGGAGCGAACAGGAUUAGAUACCCUGGUAGUCCACGCCGUAAACGAUGAGUGCUAAGUGUUAGGGGGUUUCCGCCCCUUAGUGCUGCAGCUAACGCAUUAAGCACUCCGCCUGGGGAGUACGGUCGCAAGACUGAAACUCAAAGGAAUUGACGGGGGCCCGCACAAGCGGUGGAGCAUGUGGUUUAAUUCGAAGCAACGCGAAGAACCUUACCAGGUCUUGACAUCCUCUGACAACCCUAGAGAUAGGGCUUUCCCUUCGGGGACAGAGUGACAGGUGGUGCAUGGUUGUCGUCAGCUCGUGUCGUGAGAUGUUGGGUUAAGUCCCGCAACGAGCGCAACCCUUGAUCUUAGUUGCCAGCAUUUAGUUGGGCACUCUAAGGUGACUGCCGGUGACAAACCGGAGGAAGGUGUGGAUGACGUCAAAUCAUCAUGCCCCUUAUGACCUGGGCUACACACGUGCUACAAUGGACAGAACAAAGGGCUGCGAGACCGCAAGGUUUAGCCAAUCCCACAAAUCUGUUCUCAGUUCGGAUCGCAGUCUGCAACUCGACUGCGUGAAGCUGGAAUCGCUAGUAAUCGCG